Molecule: small RNA, 84 nt
Filed under: Sinorhizobium meliloti 2011
Lineage: Bacteria; Pseudomonadati; Pseudomonadota; Alphaproteobacteria; Hyphomicrobiales; Rhizobiaceae
Description: putative ncRNA
Source: RNAcentral
GCAAGACUUCGCGCUGCCUCGGCGUGAGGAAUUCGAUCGUACGGUGGCGUUCGUUCUGGACGCCCCCGCCAGGCGCGGGCGUCU